GAUGAAGAACGCAGCGAAAUGCGAUAAGUAGUGUGAAUUGCAGAAUUCAGUGAAUCAUCGAAUCUUUGAACGCACAUUGCGCCCCUUGGUAUUCCAUGGGGCAUGCCUGUUCGAGCAUCAUUUGUACCUUCAAGCUUUGCUUGGUGUUGGGUGUUUGUCCCGAGGGACUCGCCUUAAAGUAAUUGGCAGCCAGUGUUUGGUUUUGAAGCGCAGCACAAGUCGCGAUUCAAGGCUACACGCCCGCUUCCACAAGCCUUUUUUCACUUUUGACCUCGGAUCAGGUAGGGAUACCCGCUGAACUUAAGCAUAUCAAUAAGCGGAGGA
Molecule: unclassified non-coding RNA, 324 nt
Filed under: soil metagenome
Description: partial contains 5.8S ribosomal RNA, internal transcribed spacer 2, and large subunit ribosomal RNA
Rfam family: 5.8S ribosomal RNA (bases 1-120)
Source: RNAcentral